UUCAAAAAUCCGAAAAAUCGGGGUGAGAAGAAUCUAAGGUAAGAAUCAACCGAUUCUCGUGAUUCUUUUUUUGUUGUGGAAGGAAUAGAUAGGAGUUCUAGAUAGAGUACAAAGAAGUUCGAUAUCCCUCACGUCACGGCGCCGGUACUGGCCCAAAAAAAUAUUUCGAAAAUACGAAAAACGUUCCCAUUUGUCAGUCAGAUUUUUAAGCAAGGGUGGAAUUACGGCUGCAGUUAUCUAUGUAGAAAAGACUCUUUUCUACGUAGAAAAGAUUCUUUUCUAUAUA
This is a long non-coding RNA of Bradysia coprophila, 286 nucleotides long. The record is from RefSeq and is a predicted model, not a curated record. NCBI's taxonomy places the organism in Eukaryota, Metazoa, Arthropoda, Insecta, Diptera, Sciaridae.